GACGAACGCUGGCGGCGUGCCUAAUACAUGCAAGUUGAGCGAUGAAGAUUGGUGCUUGCACCAAUUUGAAGAGCAGCGAACGGGUGAGUAACGCGUGGGUAAUCUGCCUUUGAGCGGGGGACAACAUUUGGAAACGAAUGCUAAUACCGCAUAACAACUUUAAACAUAAGUUUUAAGUUUGAAAGAUGCAAUUGCAUCACUCAAAGAUGAUCCCGCGUUGUAUUAGCUAGUUCGUGAGGUAAAGGCUCACCAAGGCGAUGAUACAUAGCCGACCUGAGAGGGUGAUCGGCCACAUCGGGAAUGAGACACGGCCCAAACUCCUACGGGAGGCAGCAGUAGGGAAUCUUCGGCAAUGGAAGAAAGUCUGACCGAGCAACGCCGCGUGAGUGAAGAAGGUUUUCGGAUCGUAAAACUCUGUUGGUAGAGAAGAAAGUUGGUGAGAGUGGAAAGCUCAUCAAGUGACGGUAACUACCCAGAAAGGGACGGCUAACUACGUG
This 497-nucleotide ribosomal RNA is filed under the name uncultured bacterium. Its description in RNAcentral is "partial 16S ribosomal RNA". It matches the Rfam family "Bacterial small subunit ribosomal RNA", at positions 28 to 507 of the family's 1533-position model. The record is from RNAcentral.